GAGAGUUGAUCCUGGCUCAGGAUGAACGCUAGCGGCAGGCUUAACACAUGCAAGUCGAGGGGCAGCGCGGGGUAGCAAUACUCUGGCGGCGACCGGCGAAAGGGUGAGUAACGCGUGAGCAACAUGCCCGGUACUGGAGGAUAGUCAUUGGAAACGAUGCGUAAUACUCCGUAACAACAGUUCCCGCAUGAGGAUUGUUUAAGAGAUUUAUCGAUACCGGAUUGGCUCGCGUGCCAUUAGCUGGUUGGCGGGGUAACGGCCCACCAAGGCGACGAUGGCUAGGGGUUCUGAGAGGAAGGUCCCCCACAUUGGAACUGAGACACGGUCCAGACUCCUACGGGAGGCAGCAGUGAGGAAUAUUGGUCAAUGGCCGAGAGGCUGAACCAGCCAUGCCGCGUGCCGGGAGGACGGCCCUAUGGGUUGUAAACCGCUUUUGUUGGGGAGCAAUAAGUCCCACGUGUGGGAUGAUGAGAGUACCCAGCGAAUAAGCAUCGGCUAACUCCGUGCCAGCCGCAGC
This 517-nucleotide ribosomal RNA is filed under the name uncultured bacterium. Its description in RNAcentral is "bacterial SSU rRNA". It matches the Rfam family "Bacterial small subunit ribosomal RNA", at positions 7 to 518 of the family's 1533-position model. The record is from RNAcentral.